This 1771-nucleotide long non-coding RNA is filed under the name Homo sapiens (human). RNAcentral describes it as "HSALNT0250538". The record is from RNAcentral. Lineage: Eukaryota; Metazoa; Chordata; Mammalia; Primates; Hominidae.
CCACCAGCCAGCCUUUUCCUCUUGCAAGUUCCCUCUCUCUCACUAGAGAGAGAGAGCUGUUUUUCUUUCUCUUUCUUUUGUCUAUUAAACCCCUGCUCCUAAACUCGUGUGUGUCCGUGUCCUAAACUCUCCUGGCACCAGAAGAACCCUGAUUAUUUACCCAGACAACUGUAGCUGCUUCAAAGUGCAAAUAGAAUCAAAAGUUCCUGAUAUAGAAUAAGCAAAUGAUGGAAGAAGCCAAGUUUCCUGAGUGGCCACUAGGAAAACUCUGUCUUCUUUAUCAAAACUAUGAGGUAUGUGUCCUCCAAAUUCUUAUGUUGGAACUUCAGCCCCAAAGUGAUUGUAUUAGAAGGUGAAACAUUUAAGAGAUGAUUAAGUCAUAAGGGCUCUGACCUUCUGAGUGGGAUUAAUGUUCUUAUAAAAGGGCUGGCGAGAACUAGCUAUGCCUUUUUGCCCUUCUGCCAUGUGAGGACACAGCAACAAGGAGCUGUCUAAAAAGCUGAGACGGAGCCUUCACCAGACACUGAAUCUGCCGGCGACUUGAUCUUGGAUUUCCCAGCCUCAAGAACUGUGAAAAUAAACUUCUGUUGCUUAUAAAUUACUCCGUCUGUGGUAUGUUGUUAUAGCAGCAGGGAUGGACUAAGAAACUCUCUCUUUAUAUAAACAAUUACUUGUGGAGAAGUCUGUAUAAUUACAGAGUAAAAUCUUUAAAAUCUCAUGGGUUUAUAAGUAGCCUUACCUGCUGUCUUAAAUUCAAGAUUCCCACAUUUGCACCUCUUUAGUAUAUAGAAUAUAGACUAUAAAAAUAGUCUUGGCUAUCUAAGGCUAGUGGCCAACUGUCUAUUGCAGAGAAAGAGUGAGAAAUUUAAUAUAAAUAUUCAUUCUUACAUAUCCACUUCCUAGGCUAAUUAUCUAUUUAAGAAACUUUGCCUUAUUGCUACACACAUACAUUUAUAAAUAAAAGUACUUCUGCAUUUUUCAAAUAUAAAUUAGUUUUUUAAGACUUGCGUGCAUACCUAAAAGCAUAUGCACCAGAUAUGUCCAUAUAAGCACAAUUCCAAUCAAAGAAAAAGACUGUACUUAAACCAACAGUAAGGCCUUAAAUCAACUAGGAAAUCCAAUUCAAUCAUAUUUCAGGGUUUAUCAUUUCAGUCAUACAAACUUUAUCCUGGACAAAAACUGAUGUGGGAUGUGUGUGUGUGUAGUUCUAAAUAUUGUAAGCAAAUUUAUUUAAAUGAGCUCAUCUGGAAAUACUGAGUUCUAUGUAAUACAUUUCUUUGUAUUGAACACAAUUGAUUUCUGUGUGUCAAAACAAUGAAAGUGGGUCAUUAAAGCAAUUAUUGUUACUGUGUAAUUUUACUACAUAAAUUACCAAAUAAAUAAUAUUAUUGCAGAAAAACACAAGCUUACUAUCUUUUUACUUAUUUUCAAGUGAAAAGAUGGAAGAGCUAUUCCUAUGUCCUGAAAAGUCCAUAUAUUAGUUGAACAUGCUGAUAUCUGAUUCAUGAAAUCUCCAUUGCUUCAGUACCAUAGAUGUGAAAUGAUUUUAAAGCAUAUUCACAUUUGUCAUCCUAUGUUUUUAUAUUUAAUAAUUUUACUCUAAUUUUACAGUUACUGAAACUGUUACAUAGCUGUGCUGUUCUAUAUCUGGACAUGCUGUGUAUAACAGUAUGUUAUUUUUACAGGUACCGGACUUUAUUCUCUAGAUCUUUUCAGGGGCAUGCAUAGCUCUUAAAGCACCCAUGCUCAUAUUCAAAUCUUCUAAUCUUUU